GCUUACCGUGGCAGUGACGGUUAACGGGGGAUUAGGGUUCGAUUCCGGAGAGGGAGCCUGAGAAACGGCUACCACAUCUAAGGAAGGCAGCAGGCGCGCAAAUUACCCAAUUCUAACAGCAUAAGAGAGGUAGUGACAAGAAAUAACAAUACAAGGUAAUUAAAUUGCUUUGUAAUUGGAAUGAUAGAAAUUUAAACACUUUUUAAAGUAUCAAUUGGAGGGCAAGUCUGGUGCCAGCAGCCGCGGUAAUUCCAGCUCCAAUAGCGUAUAUUAAAAUUGUUGCAGUUAAAAAGCUCGUAGUUGAAUUUCUGUUAAAAAUAACCGGUCUGCUUUUAUUAAAAGUGGUAUCUUGGUGUGUUUUUAGCAAUAAUGUCCUUUGAAAUGUUUUUUACUUUAUUGUAAUAAGUCAUUAUUUUGAGGAUUUUUACUUUGAGAAAAUUAGAGUGUUUCUAGCAGGCUUACGCUUUUGAAUACUGCAGCAUGGAAUAAUAAGAUAGGAUUUUAGUUCUACAUUAUUGGUUUUAAGAACUAAAUUAAUGAUUGAUAGGGAUAGUUGGGGGCAUUU
This 565-nucleotide ribosomal RNA is filed under the name Hepatozoon sp. RNAcentral describes it as "bacterial SSU rRNA". It matches the Rfam family "Eukaryotic small subunit ribosomal RNA", at positions 339 to 893 of the family's 1831-position model. The record is from RNAcentral. Lineage: Eukaryota; Apicomplexa; Hepatozoidae.